This 304-nucleotide long non-coding RNA is filed under the name Coffea arabica (coffee). RNAcentral describes it as "long non-coding RNA (CARA_LNC008091)". Lineage: Eukaryota; Viridiplantae; Streptophyta; Magnoliopsida; Gentianales; Rubiaceae. The record is from RNAcentral.
AACGCCCGCAGUAAACGCCCUCCGUUUUUCCCAUUGGAAGACUUUCUCCAUUUCUCCAAUCUCGCCAGAAAAAGAAACCCACCAAGAAUCAACACGUUUUCCACCUAAAAAUUUUUUCUGUUACUUUCACACAGGAGAAUCGAAUUCAAAUACUUCAAUUUUCUGCUUUUCAAUCAGACUUACGGCUAUUUGAUCAACCAUCAAGAACUUGGGUUCAACCAGCAAACAGAGUUCUUUCUCUUAUGAAGCCUUGGAGCCAUUAAUUGGAGGAGGAAAAAGUUUUUAAUAAGCAGCUGAGAAUCAA